AGCUGGUAUAUCGGAACCAAAU
Molecule: microRNA, 22 nt
Filed under: Ptychodera flava
Lineage: Eukaryota; Metazoa; Hemichordata; Enteropneusta; Ptychoderidae
Description: Pfl-Mir-133-v2_5p* (star (passenger))
Source: RNAcentral